GUCAGACGUGAAAGCCUUCUGUUCAACGGAAGAAUUGCAUCUGAAACUACAAACCUUGAGUGUAGGAGGGGAGAAUGGAACUUCUGGUGGAGCGGUGAAAUGCGUAGAUAUCAGAAGGAACGCCGGCGGCGAAAGCGAUUCUCUGGCCUAUUACUGACACUCAGUGUGCGAAAGCUAGGGGAGCAAACGGGAUUAGAUACCCCGGUAGUCCUAGCCGUAAACGAUGGGCACUAAGUAAAGGGGUU
This 245-nucleotide ribosomal RNA is filed under the name uncultured Planctomycetota bacterium. RNAcentral's name for it is "uncultured planctomycete partial 16S ribosomal RNA". It matches the Rfam family "Bacterial small subunit ribosomal RNA", at positions 587 to 830 of the family's 1533-position model. The record is from RNAcentral. Lineage: Bacteria; Pseudomonadati; Planctomycetota.